AAUGAACGCUGGCGGCAUGCCUAACACAUGCAAGUCGAACGAAGGCUUCGGCCUUAGUGGCGCACGGGUGCGUAACGCGUGGGAAUCUGCCCCUUGGUUCGGAAUAACAGUUAGAAAUGACUGCUAAUACCGGAUGAUGACGUAAGUCCAAAGAUUUAUCGCCGAGGGAUGAGCCCGCGUAGGAUUAGCUAGUUGGUGUGGUAAGAGCGCACCAAGGCGACGAUCCUUAGCUGGUCUGAGAGGAUGAUCAGCCACACUGGGACUGAGACACGGCCCAGACUCCUACGGGAGGCAGCAGUGGGGAAUAUUGGACAAUGGGCGAAAGCCUGAUCCAGCAAUGCCGCGUGAGUGAUGAAGGCCUUAGGGUUGUAAAGCUCUUUUACCCGGGAUGAUAAUGACAGUACCGGGAGAAUAAGCUCCGGCUAACUCCGUGCCAGCCGCCGCAGUAA
This 449-nucleotide ribosomal RNA is filed under the name uncultured bacterium. Its description in RNAcentral is "partial 16S ribosomal RNA". It matches the Rfam family "Bacterial small subunit ribosomal RNA", at positions 29 to 523 of the family's 1533-position model. The record is from RNAcentral.